GGGGAAGUAGCUUAGUGGCAAAGCGAUGGCCUGUCACGUCAUAGAUCGCGGGUUCAAAUCCCGUCUUUCCCG
This is a non-coding RNA of Klebsormidium nitens, 72 nucleotides long. NCBI's taxonomy places the organism in Eukaryota, Viridiplantae, Streptophyta, Klebsormidiophyceae, Klebsormidiales, Klebsormidiaceae. The record is from Rfam.